Molecule: transfer RNA, 63 nt
Filed under: Charinus ferreus
Lineage: Eukaryota; Metazoa; Arthropoda; Arachnida; Amblypygi; Charinidae
Description: tRNA-Glu
Source: RNAcentral
GUUUCUAUAGUGAAGCCCCUCACCUAACCUUUUCAAGGUUAAAACGUAUUUUUACUAGAAACU